Dipodomys spectabilis (banner-tailed kangaroo rat) is the source of this 324-nucleotide long non-coding RNA. RefSeq lists it as uncharacterized. The transcript has 3 exons. The record is from RefSeq and is a predicted model, not a curated record. Lineage: Eukaryota; Metazoa; Chordata; Mammalia; Rodentia; Heteromyidae.
GCUCACGGCCCAGGCCGCUACCUGCUGCUGCGUGAAGAAGUCCUUGACCAGGGCGCCCAUGACCUGCUGGGGAGAGCGCACCGUGCUGAGAUGCCUACCUUACACGGCCCACUCCGGGUGCCCACGGCCCUGUCCCUGAGAUGCCUUGGGCUCAUGCGCAGCCUGGCUGCCACAUGCAGCUCCCACAGGAUGUGCAGAGAGGAGUCCCUGCCCCCAGCUCCACCGGAGCUCGCGUGCCAGUGUCUGUGGGAUCCAGCUGAAACCUCACUGCCAGGGACGCCGUGGACUGAGGAGAGAUUGACACCACCAGCAGCCGCUGCUCAC